AGAACGAACGCUGGCGGCAUGCCUAAUACAUGCAAGUCGAACGAACACUUCGGUGUUAGUGGCGCACGGGUGCGUAACGCGUGGGAAUCUGCCCUUGGGUUCGGAAUAACAGUUGGAAACGACUGCUAAUACCGGAUGAUAUCGAAAGAUCAAAGAUUUAUCGCCCAGGGAUGAGCCCGCGCAGGAUUAGCUAGUUGGUGAGGUAAAGGCUCACCAAGGCGACGAUCCUUAGCUGGUCUGAGAGGAUGAUCAGCCACACUGGGACUGAGACACGGCCCAGACUCCUACGGGAGGCAGCAGUAGGGAAUAUUGGACAAUGGGCGCAAGCCUGAUCCAGCAAUGCCGCGUGAGUGACGAAGGCCUUAGGGUGUAAAGCUACUUUUACCCGAGAUGAUAAUGACAGUAUCGGGAGAAUAAGCCCCGGCUAACUCCGUGCCCAGCAGCCGC
Molecule: ribosomal RNA, 447 nt
Filed under: uncultured soil bacterium
Lineage: Bacteria
Description: bacterial SSU rRNA
Rfam family: Bacterial small subunit ribosomal RNA
Source: RNAcentral